This 500-nucleotide ribosomal RNA is filed under the name uncultured bacterium. RNAcentral describes it as "partial 16S ribosomal RNA". It matches the Rfam family "Bacterial small subunit ribosomal RNA", at positions 30 to 523 of the family's 1533-position model. The record is from RNAcentral.
AUUGAACGCUGGCGGCAUGCCUUACACAUGCAAGUCGAACGGCAGCACGGGAGCAAUCCUGGUGGCGAGUGGCGAACGGGUGAGUAAAGUAUCGGAACGUGCCCAGUCGUGGGGGAUAACGUAGCGAAAGUUACGCUAAUACCGCAUACGAUCUAUGGAUGAAAGCGGGGGAUCGCAAGACCUCGCGCGAUUGGAGCGGCCGAUAUCAGAUUAGGUAGUUGGUGGGGUAAAGGCUCACCAAGCCGACGAUCUGUAGCUGGUCUGAGAGGACGACCAGCCGAACUGGGAAUGAGACACGGCCCAGACUCCUACGGGAGGCAGCAGUGGGGAAUUUUGGACAAUGGGCGCAAGCCUGAUCCAGCCAUGCCGCGUGCAGGAUGAAGGCCUUCGGGUUGUAAACUGCUUUUGUACGGAACGAAAAGGUUUGACUUAAUACGUUGGACUCAUGACGGUACCGUAAGAAUAAGCACCGGCUAACUACGUGCCAGCAGCCGCGGUAA